GUUAUACCGUUUAGUGGAUAACUUGGCUCAAGUUCCGAUGAAGAGCGUGGCAAGCUGCGAAAAGCCCAGGGGAGACGCAUGCAGUCUACGAGCCUGGGAUUCUUGAAUCAGUCCGAAAGGACAGGGAACGCGGUGAAUUGAAUCAUCUUAGUAACCGCAGGAAAAGAAACCAAUUGGGAUGCCGUUAGUAGGGGCGACCGAAAACGGCUGAGGACAAACCGAAUCCGGUGUGGUAACACAUCGGGGAUGUGGGGUGUUUCGGCCUGGUUACAACCAAGCAAUCGAGCAGAAGUCUCUUGGAAAAGAGUACCAUAGAGAGUGAUAGUCUCGUAUGCGUAGAGCGCAAGGUUGAUUGUCAGGUACCGAGAGUAGGGUGCGUCGGAUGUCGCGCCUAAAAACGCGGGCCAUUAACCCGCAAUCCUAAACAUUAACUUGAGACCGAUAGCGUACUAGUACCGUGAGGGAAAGUUGAAAAGUACCCUUGACAGGGGUUGAAAAGCACUUGAAACUAAACGGUUACAAUUUAGUCAGGGCAUGAAAGAAUCGAUGUUUGCAAAAGGAAGCAGUCGCAAGGCUGUUGUACGAUGCGAACGGAUCAGUGUCCUGUCGUCCGUCUUGAAUCACGGACUGGGGAGUUGCCUGUUGUGGCAAGGCUAAUGGCGUCAGGCCGGGAGCCGAAGCGAAAGCGAAGUCGCGCAACUCCGCAAGGGGCGAGGCGAAACGUAUGAAAAUGCGUGAUAGUCACAGCAGACAGACCUGAAACCCGUUGCGAGCUAUUCCUGAGUAAGGUGAAGCCUUUCUUCCGAAGGGCGGAGGCCUUAACCAGUUCUAGUCUAACUGUUUGGGUAACUUGGGAAUAGAGGUAAUAGGCUAUUCGAGCCGGGUGAUAGCAGGUUCCUCCAGAACGAUCUCUUAGGAUCGCCUCGUUCGAGCCUGUGCAUGGUGUCGAGAUACUGAUUAGGGAGUAAGGGGCCGAGAGGCUUCGCUUUUUUGUCAAACUCCAAAGCUAUGCACGGCGUAGACAACGGGAGUCGGGGCAGUCGGGUAAGCUGAUUGUCCGAGAGGGGAAAAACCCAGACGCGGGUUAAGGCCCAUAAAUGCCGGUUAAGUGUGAAUAAUCGAAAACAGUCAUUUUUCGAAAACAGUGGGGAGGUUGGCUUAGAAGCAGCUAUCCUUUAAAGAAUGCGUAACAGCUCACCCACCUAGAAAAAUGGCGUUGAAAAUUAACUGGGCUCAAACCGGCUGCCGAAACCCGUGGCCACGCAUGCAAGUGCGUGAUGCAGUAUGGAGGUGUUCGGAUGGAGAGAAAGCAAGGGCGAGAGUUCUUGUGAAUCCGUCUGAAAUAUGGAUCCCAGUGCUAGUAGCAACAAAGAAAGAUGAGAAUUCUUUCCGCCGAAAGAGCAAGGGUUCCUUAGCGCUAAUCAUUAGCUAAGGGUUAGUCGGUCCUAACUGCUACCGUAAUGCGGUAAUGCAGGAAAGGGAAACACGUUCAUAUUCGUGUACCGUACAACUACGUUUUUGGCAACAAAGGCCUGCUUUUCGACGCUUUGAGCUAGGGAUUGUACGCUCGUCUGCGUAUUUAAGCGUUAUAAAUCCAUGGAGAACCGUAAAGGUGAGAAGUGGAUUAAAGACGCGAACAGCCGCAAGGUUUUCCUAAUGCCCGGAGCCCAUGAAAAGAAAAGCAGGAAGGAUGUUGUACGACCGUACCGAGAACUGAGAAAGGUGCUCAGGCUGAAAAGGCCAAGGCGUAUCAGGAUCAACCAGGUUAUGGGAACUCGGCAAAUUAGCCCUGUAUCUUAGGUAUAAGGGGUGCCAGCAUUUGAAUAAAGUGCUGGUUGCAAUCACGCGAGGAGUCCGACUGUUUAGCAAAAACACAGCUGACCGCAAGUCCGUAAGGAUGAGUAUGGUCAGUGACUUCUGCUCACUGCCAGUACGUUAAAACCCGUUCCAACGGGUCUAAGCGCUGGUGAAGAGCGGGCCUAACUCUGAGGCUCUUAUGGUAGCGUAAUACCUUGUCGUUUUAUUGGCGACUUGCACCAAGGAAGUAACGAGAUUCCUACUGUCCCUAACCUGGGCCUGGCGAACUCACUAUGUGGUGAAUAUGCCACAAACUCCCGAUGGGAAGAGAAGACCCCACGGAGGUUUACUACAUUCUGAUGUUGUGGUGUGGUUUUUGUUGCAUAGCGUAGCUGGGAGCGUCGAACCCACCCUUGCGGGGGUGGGGAAUGCGAAAAUGUAACACCAGCCUACAAAAAGCACACUGCUUACCGGCCGUACGGCCGGAACACCAUUAGAUGGGUAGUUAGACUGGGGCGGUACACCCCUGAAAAGAUAUCAGGGGUGCCCAAAGGUCUGCUCAGGCGAGUCAGAAAUUCGCCGUAGAGUGCAAGAGCAAAAGCAGGCUUGACCAUCAUCCUAAAAGCACGGAUCGUGGAAAGGAAACUUGGGUCUAGCGAACAUCAGUGUCCUCAUUAAUGGGGGCCUGGUCUGACAGUGAACUUACCCUGGGGGUAACUGAGUGGUCGUGGGUGAGAGUCCACAUCGACCCCACGGAUUGCGACCUCGCCGUCGGCUCUUGGCAUCCUGGCUGUGCAUAAGCAGCCAAGGGUGGAGGUGUUAACUCAUUAAAGCCGAUCGUUAGUUGGGUUAAGAACGGUGCGAGCCAGUUUGGUUACUAUCUAUCGGGAGUGCGGAUUGUCUGAGGGAAAGAUCCAUCUAGUACGAGAGGAACAGUGGGUCGUCGCCUCUGGUGGACCAGUUGUCUGACAAGGCAUCGCUGGGUAGCUACGCGGUAAACGAUAAAAGCUGAAAGCAUCUAAGCUUGAAGCGUUCCCCGAAACUAGACAAUCAUUUCUGAAACCAAUUCUUCUGCGGAAGGAUUGCUGUAGGAACGAGAGUGCCGCCUAAAAUAGCGGUUUGAUAGGCAGCGGAUGUACGCCAAAAGCUUCGGCGAUUGGUUCAGUCCAGCUGUACUAAUAACUCAAGGGAGCUUG
RNAcentral lists this ribosomal RNA (2993 nucleotides) under groundwater metagenome. Its description in RNAcentral is "bacterial LSU rRNA". It matches the Rfam family "Archaeal large subunit ribosomal RNA". The record is from RNAcentral.